AGCGGAGGGAUCAUUACCGAGUUAUACAACUCCCAAACCACUGUGAACCUUACCUCAGUUGCCUCGGCGGGAACGCCCCGGCCGCCUGCCCCCGCGCCGGCGCCGGACCCAGGCGCCCGCCGCAGGGACCCCAAACUCUCUUGCAUUACGCCCAGCGGGCGGAAUUUCUUCUCUGAGUUGCACAAGCAAAAACAAAUGAAUCAAAACUUUCAACAACGGAUCUCUUGGUUCUGGCAUCGAUGAAGAACGCAGCGAAAUGCGAUAAGUAAUGUGAAUUGCAGAAUUCAGUGAAUCAUCGAAUCUUUGAACGCACAUUGCGCCCGCCAGCAUUCUGGCGGGCAUGCCUGUUCGAGCGUCAUUUCAACCCUCGAGCCCCCCCCGGGGGCCUCGGUGUUGGGGGACGGCACACCAGCCGCCCCCGAAAUGCAGUGGCGACCCCGCCGCAGCCUCCCCUGCGUAGUAGCACACACCUCGCACCGGAGCGCGGAGGCGGUCACGCCGUAAAACGCCCAACUUUCUUAGAGUGACCUCGGAUCAGUAGAUACCCGUAUA
Molecule: ribosomal RNA, 552 nt
Filed under: Purpureocillium lilacinum
Lineage: Eukaryota; Fungi; Ascomycota; Sordariomycetes; Hypocreales; Ophiocordycipitaceae
Description: eukaryotic LSU rRNA
Rfam family: 5.8S ribosomal RNA (bases 205-358)
Source: RNAcentral